Molecule: ribosomal RNA, 254 nt
Filed under: uncultured bacterium
Lineage: Bacteria
Description: partial 16S ribosomal RNA
Rfam family: Bacterial small subunit ribosomal RNA
Source: RNAcentral
GACAGAGGUGCCGAGCGUUAGGCGGAAUCACUGGGCUUAAAGCGUGUGUAGGCGGGUCGUUAAGUACCUUGUGAAAUCCCCCGGCUCAACCGGGGAAUGGCUGGGUAUACUGGCGAUCUUGAGCGAUCCAGGGGCAGAUGGAACAAGUGGUGGAGCGGUGAAAUGCGUAGAGUAUCACUUGGAACGCCAAAGGUGAAGACAGUCUGCUGGGGAUCUGCUGACGCUGAGACACGAAAGCCAGGGGAGCGAACGGG